ACGGUCCUAAGGUAGCGAAAUUCCUUGUCGGGUAAGUUCCGACCCGCACGAAAGGUGUAACGAUUUGGGCACUGUCUCAACGAGGGACCCGGUGAAAUUGAAAUACCUGUGAAGAUGCAGGUUACCCGCGACUGGACAGAAAGACCCCAUGGAGCUUUACUGUAACCUGACAUUGGGUUUUGUUGUAUUACGUACAGGAUAGGUGGGAGGCUUGGAAGGCUGGACGCUAGUCUGGCUGGAGCCGGCGUUGGGAUACCACCCUUGAUACAACGGAAUUCUAACCGAGAGAGUAACGAAAUCCGGGACAGUGUCAGGCGGGCAGUUUGACUGGGGCGGUCGCCUCCGAAAGAGUAACGGAGGCGCCCAAAGGUUCCCUCAGCGCGGCCGGAAAUCGCGCGAAGAGUGUAAAGGCAGAAGGGAGCUUGACUGCGAGCCAAACACGGCGAGCAGGUACGAAAGUAGGGCUUAGUGAUCCGGUGGUACCGAGUGGAAGGGCCAUCGCUCAACGGAUAAAAGCUACCCUGGGGAUAACAGGCUAAUCUCUCCCAAGAGUCCAUAUCGACGGGGAGGUUUGGCACCUCGAUGUCGGCUCAUCACAUCCUGGGGCUGAAGUCGGUCCCAAGGGUUGGGCUGUUCGCCCAUUAAAGUGGUACGUGAGCUGGGUUCAGAACGUCGUGAGACAGUUCGGUCCCUAUCCAUCGCGGGCGCAAGAGAUUUGAAGGGGUCUGCUCCUAGUACGAGAGGACCGGAGUGGACGGACCGCUGGUGUACCAGUUAUUCCGCCAGGAGUACAGCUGGGUAGCUACGUCCGGACUGGAUAAACGCUGAAAGCAUCUAAGCGUGAAGCCAUCCUUAAGAUGAGAUCUCUCACAGAGUAAUCUGGUAAGACACCUUAAAGAAGAUGAGGUAGAUAGGCCUGUCUCUUAUACACAUCUCCGAGCCC
Molecule: ribosomal RNA, 943 nt
Filed under: human gut metagenome
Description: bacterial LSU rRNA
Rfam family: Bacterial large subunit ribosomal RNA
Source: RNAcentral